Molecule: ribosomal RNA, 253 nt
Filed under: uncultured bacterium
Lineage: Bacteria
Description: partial 16S ribosomal RNA
Rfam family: Bacterial small subunit ribosomal RNA
Source: RNAcentral
UACGAGGGGGGCUAGUGUUGUUCGGAAUCACUGGGCGUAAAGGGAGCGUAGGCGGGAGCCUAAGUUGGGUGUUUAAUUCCGGGGCCCAACCCCGGGCGUGCACUCAAAACUGGGUUUCUUAAAUAGGGGAGAGGUCGGUGGAAUUGGAGGUGUAGCGGUGGAAUGCGUAGAGAUCUCCAAGAACACCCGUUGCGAAGGCGGCCGACUGGACCCAUAUUGACGCUGAGGCUCGAAAGCAUGGGGAGCAAACAGG